CGUGGAGGAUGACAGCCCAUGGGUCGUAAACUCCUUUUCUUAGAGAAGAAAUUUUGACGGUAUCUGAGGAAUAAGCAUCGGCUAACUCCGUGC
This 93-nucleotide ribosomal RNA is filed under the name uncultured bacterium. Its description in RNAcentral is "partial 16S ribosomal RNA". It matches the Rfam family "Bacterial small subunit ribosomal RNA", at positions 400 to 508 of the family's 1533-position model. The record is from RNAcentral.